Neoarius graeffei (lesser salmon catfish) is the source of this 4774-nucleotide long non-coding RNA. RefSeq lists it as uncharacterized. The transcript is spliced from 4 exons. Lineage: Eukaryota; Metazoa; Chordata; Actinopteri; Siluriformes; Ariidae. The record is from RefSeq and is a predicted model, not a curated record.
CGCACCGCGGCCGAGACGAAGUGAUAGAAGUUUUGACAACCAAGUAAAUCACUCUGCUGGCAGACGGCGGAGGAAAGAUCAUCAGUGCGAUCCACUCUGAAGAUGCAACUGAAUUCUGUCCAUGAUUCGGAAAGAGGGUGAGGAAACUCUGAGGCUUAGUAUGGAGAGGAGAUGAGCACAGCUGAACAACAUUGGCAGGGAUGAUCUAAUAGAGGCUAAAACCAAAACAGCUCGUGUUUGCAGUAAUUAUUUUAUCUCAGGAAUGCCAGCAAAAUUAUACGAUAGAAACAAUCCAGACUGGGCACCCACUCAGAAAAUGGGCUACGUUUCGUCCAAGGUCAGACUUGAUUCUUCGGCAGCUGAACGACACCAAAGAGCUCAAAGGAGGAGGAAGACAGCCGAAUUUGCGGAAGCUGCAUGUGGUAGCUCACCUGUGGAGUUCCAAGACACCACGGUUGAAGCUGAGAAAUUAAUACCAGUUUCCCUUCACUGGCACUACGGGACCCAAACUUGUUCCAGCAUAACAAUACCCCAAGUGAGCGUCACAAAGCUAUGGUUUGCCAAGGUUGGAGUAGAAGAACUCAAGUGUACUGCACAGAGCUGUGACCUCACCCCACUGAACACCUUUGAGAUGAACUGGAACUCUGACUGCACCCCAGAUCUCCUUGCCCAACAUCAGUGUCUGACCUCACUAAUACACUUGUAGCUGAAUGAGCACAAAUCCCCACAGCUAUGCUACAAAACCUAAUGGAAAGCCUUCCCAGAAGAAAGGAGGACAUUAUAACUGCAAAGUUGGAUUAAAUCUGGAAUGGGAUGUUGAAAAAGCACAUAUGGAUGUGAUGGUUAGGUGUCCACAAACAUUUGGCCAAAUAGUGCAAUUCAUUUUCUAUUCAUCAAAAUGAGUGUAUGGACUAUGGCUUCUCUGAAGUGUUUUCCUUUUUGUCAUGUUCACAACCUCACAUAAGGUAGUUAUUAGCAGGUCAAACUUGAUUUUUCAGUGGGCCAAACUAUGACUUUCCAGUAGGUGAGUUACUAUAAUUGUGGUGGCAGUGAUUAAUUAACCAACAAAAUACAAGAUGCUGUAUUGACAAGAGUCUGAAUUAAUGGUAGCAUCCUAAAAGUGGACAGGCUACCUUUCUAUCAGGUUAAGAAAUGAACAGCUAUGCCUAAAGCCAACAUUUGGCCACACUUAUUGUUCCUUAUUUUCAUGUAAACCACAGGAGUGAAACAGAUGUAAAUGCAGGAAGAGAGUUUAUUAAAAGCAGGCAGGCAAAUGAUUCCAAAAAUGUGAGGCACAGAAGAUAAACUAGACCAGGCAGGGGUCAGGCAAUGAGCAAGCAGAGUAAAUGUGGGAAGGCUAUGGACGUAGUCAGAAAACAGAAACAAAGUCAAAACCGUAGGAACAAUGCAAAAUUCCAACAGCUUGAUAAUGACAGGUCUGUGACACUGAGGGUAUACCUUGCCAAGUGUGUAUGUGUUCAAGGCCCUUAUAUGUGCGAAGUGAUUGUGCUCUGAUCUGGAACAGGUGCUCGACAUCAAUUAGUUUUAAUGAGCUUGAGCACAGCACAAUGCUGUAUGCCAGUUUGAGGUGAGCUGCUACACGCUCUGAUCGAAUGCACACAGAUGUGACACUUAUACCAAAAAGGUUCAUACUUCGUAAUAUUUUAUUGGUUGAAUGAAGGUUUACUUUUAUACUUAUCAGUAUGUCAGAUUUGAUGGUAAAUAAAAAAUGAUAAAUACCUAACUUGCAUCUUUCAAAUUUGAAAUAUUUUAUAUUGUGCAGAAGGACGGCAUGGCAGUGUAGUGGUUAGCACUGUUGCCUCAUUGCAAGAAGGUCCUGGGUUCGAGCCUAGUGGCUGGCGAGGGCCUUUUUGUGUGGAGUUUGCAUGUUCUCCCCGUGUCUGCGUGGGUUUCCUCUGCAUGCUCCGGUUUCCCCCAAAGUCAUGCAGGUUAGAUUAAUUGGUGGCUCUCAGUUGACCGUAAGUGUGAGUGGUUGUUUCUCUGUGUCAGCCCUGCGAUGAUCUGGCGACUUGUCCAGGGUGUACCCCGUCUCUCACCCAUAGUCAGCUGGGAUAGGCUCCAGCUUGCCUGAGACCCUGUAGAACAGGAUAAGCGGCAACAGAUAAUGGAUGGAUGGGUUGUUUCUGCAUCGUUGUGCAAACUAGUCAUCAGCAAAAACGUGACAAUGACAAUGAGAACACAUUCUCCUUAAUUGCACUCUUAGUAAUCCAAGUUAUUUCAGUAAAUUAUACCAGAAUUUCAUUUUCUACUAAAAUGAAACAACAAUGAAUACAAUUAUUGGAAUGAGUUCCACUAGAUGGUACUGUAGCACCCACAACAGCUUACUUCCCAUCUAGUAGACAAGGUUAGUUUAAAUUAUACAUGUUUCAUGCAGAUGAUUUAAAUGAACACGUUUUAGUCACAGGUGGCUUGUCAUACCUUCCAGUCUUUCAGCAUAUUUCCAAAAUGACCCAACAGACCCAGAGGAAUGGGUUAAGAGAGUUUCUAAUUGGAUGUAAAGCAGGUGAAAUUUGAUUUGUGUGGUGUACAUUUAAGUGUAUUUCAAAGAGGAAAAGACGAUAUGUAUAAAUAUCCAGUGUGAUAAACCUGAAAAUCAGCCAGAUAUCCUGGUUUUCCCCCCUUAUCCUCUGUGAGAUACAAGGACCUUAUUUGCUUCACUCAAAUGAAAUUCCCUCAUAUCCAAGCAACUGUGAAAUUACCAGUAAAAGGACCUCGAUAAAAAGAGUAUUGGAGUGAGUUGUAGAAUUUCAAAGAGGCAUGCAUAAGACCAGUGAAUGAAGAAGCUUGGCUCAGCAAAACUGCUCGAGGGUCAAACAUGGCUUGGGUUUUUCAUGGAUGUUGUUUGACCUAAAAAGAUAUCUGAUAGUUCAGAAAGUUAUUGUAUGUAUACAGUAUUGUGCAAAAAUCUUAGCACCCUAUUUUUUCAUACAAACUUGGUUAUAGAUUUCUAUUUUAUGGCUUCUACAUUAUCGAGUCAGUACAAAAACAUUUUAGAGUUCCAAAUGUUCAUUUUCCAGCACAAAAUUAAAUGCUACAGGAAAAAAAUGUUUCUAUCUGAGCAGCAUAUGACAUAAAAGAGAGCACUUUUCAGAUUAAAAAAGAAAACAUAAUGAAGGCUACUGGGUUUUGCUGCAAAAUGAAGAAGUGAGUGUGACAAAGUGUCCAGAAGAACUGUGGCUGGUUCUGUCAGAUGCUCAGUAAAACCUACAGCUCAUUUCCUUAUCAAACUGCACUCACUGUACCCGAGGUUUUUUUUAACAAAAGGUCGUCUCACAUCAAAUAUUGACUUUGUUUCAUUUAUUAUGGCUUACUGCUGUUUAUAGUAUUUUUAUUAAUUUUGAAACAUUUAAAUUCAUUAUUUUUUUUGGCCAUUUUUGGUCGACAGCAUUUCUUUACAUGUGCCCAAGACUUUGCACAGCAGUGUGUGUGUGUGUGUGUGUGUGUGUGUGUAUAUAUAUAUAAAAUAAAUACAUUUUUUAUAUAUGUGUGUGUUUCCACACCCCUGCUAAAAUGAAACCAAGAUAAACCCUGUCUGGAAGUUAUUCCAUCUUCACUGCAAAAUUGCAAUCCACACAAAGAAGGUGAAAACAAAUCAGAAACACUUUAGGUAAAAAAAAAAAAAAAAAUGAAAGUACAAACCAUACAAAAACCUGCCUGCAUAAUUGUGCACACCCUUAAAAAGUUACAGCUUUAUGUCUGUCUGUUACAAAGCACUGUGAGGUUUUCUUGUUCAGAACUACAUUUUGUCUCAAGUCAUGACUGGAAAUAGUCUGUGCAGUCAAAUUUAAAACAUAUAGGGUACAGGUACAAAUUUAACGCAGAGAAUUCCAAUCUUUGCACCAAGUUGAUAAAUAUUGUCAUUUUUCAAACACAGAUGAUCAGACCACAAUGAAUAAAAUAUGUGAGAAGUAACAUCCACUGCAAUUGUAUAAUAAAGGCAGAGACAUCAUAGAGAUUCGGUUCUUAGACCAUAACGUUCUGUUGCCAUGGCAUUUUAUGAAACCUAUUAAUAAUGAACCUGUCCUGUUGGGUGCUAUUUGUUUUUGAAGUUUGUUCAGUGACUGUAGGCUUGUAUGUAUGGUGCACAUUUGCAUACAUUAAUAGGGCGGCAGUUAGAGCAGCAAUGUUAUUAUUGUUAUUAUUAUUAUAAUACAUUUUUUUUAACAUACAGUUGUGGUCAGAAGUUUACAUACGGUGACAUGAAUGUCAUCUUGGAUAUGAAUGUCAUGACAAUAUUUGGGCUUUCAGUAAUUUCGUUGAACUGUUCUUUUUCUGUGGCUGAAUGUACAACAUACAUCUUGAAUAAAAAAAAACACUAGAAUUUGGUGCACAAAUUUUAAUUAGGGCCCGAGCACCGUUCGGUGCAAGACCCUAUUGUUUUUCGAAGGAUUAUUAUUAUUAUUAUGCCAUGUUUGGCCUUAUUUGAGGUAUUUCCCAUGCACGAAAACUCAUGAAAUAACACACAUCAGUCAUUGUCCUUGCUACUCAGCCACAGACUUUUGGCCCCGGGCAUGGCCCAGGAACUUCAUAGCGCCCCUUUUUCCAUUUCCCAUUGAAAUGAAUGGGUAGAACUUUGGAAUGAUGAUGACAUAAGGCCAUGUGGAGUGAAAUUACACAUGGUCAUUUUUAACGUACUCCUCCUAGACGGUUCAUCAAAUUCAUGUCAAACUUGGCAAACAUGAUGCCAAGAUAUUGCUGAAGUUGAAUUGCUAAGGGAUAUUUAAUAUCUCAUCUCAUCUCAUUAUCUCUAGCC